UGUAAUCAUUGUUCUUAGGAAUCCUAAGUGAGGGAGAGUUGCCUUUGAAAUGAACAGAUCUUGUGAGGAAGAGUAUAUCAACGUAUCAGAAAUGGAUAUUGGCUGCUUUUAUUUUCACAGCAAUACUCGGUUUUUGGCAGCCUUUCAGAUUUCCAGUCAGAAUUUCAUAUUGGCUAAAAAACCAAAUUGAGUUUCUCUGUGUGGUUAGUAGUUAACUUGUAGCCUUUGAAUGAACGCGACCGGUGUUGAGUAGUUACAGUAGCUACCCUUGUUAAGUUGCAAUUAGUUUGUUAAUGACAUUGUAUCUGCAAAUCGUUGUUAUUUAUUCUCUUCUUUAAUUGAAAGAUAAUUUCAUUGAGAACAAGAUUAUUCCAGUCGCUUCAAAUUACUAAUAAAAGUUACAAUUAUG
RNAcentral lists this unclassified non-coding RNA (409 nucleotides) under Hevea brasiliensis (rubber tree). Lineage: Eukaryota; Viridiplantae; Streptophyta; Magnoliopsida; Malpighiales; Euphorbiaceae. The record is from RNAcentral.